This 265-nucleotide ribosomal RNA is filed under the name uncultured bacterium. RNAcentral's name for it is "partial 16S ribosomal RNA". It matches the Rfam family "Bacterial small subunit ribosomal RNA", at positions 335 to 593 of the family's 1533-position model. The record is from RNAcentral.
UACCUACGGGAGGCAGCAGUAGGGAAUCUUCCACAAUGGACGAAAGUCUGAUGGAGCAACGCCGCGUGAGUGAAGAAGGGUUUCGGCUCGUAAAGCUCUGUUGGUAGUGAAGAAAGAUAGAGGUAGUAACUGGCCUUUAUUUGACGGUAAUUACUUAGAAAGUCACGGCUAACUACGUGCCAGCAGCCGCGGUAAUAAGUAGGUGGGAAGCGUUGUCCGGAUUUAUUGGGCGUAAAGCGAGUGCAGGCGGGUGUACUAGUUCGGU